UAACCUUCGGGAGGACGCUCACCACUUUGUGGUUCAUGACUGGGGUGAAGUCGUAACAAGGUAGCCCUAGGGGAACCUGGGGCUGGAUCACCUCCUUAUACGAA
This 104-nucleotide ribosomal RNA is filed under the name Vibrio mediterranei. RNAcentral's name for it is "partial 16S ribosomal RNA". It matches the Rfam family "Bacterial small subunit ribosomal RNA", at positions 1436 to 1533 of the family's 1533-position model. Lineage: Bacteria; Pseudomonadati; Pseudomonadota; Gammaproteobacteria; Vibrionales; Vibrionaceae. The record is from RNAcentral.